This 500-nucleotide ribosomal RNA is filed under the name uncultured bacterium. Its description in RNAcentral is "partial 16S ribosomal RNA". It matches the Rfam family "Bacterial small subunit ribosomal RNA", at positions 30 to 523 of the family's 1533-position model. The record is from RNAcentral.
AUUGAACGCUGGCGGAAUGCUUUACACAUGCAAGUCGAACGGCAGCACGGACUUCGGUCUGGUGGCGAGUGGCGAACGGGUGAGUAACAUAUCGGGACGUAUCCAAUAAUGGGGGAUAACGAGUCGAAAGAUUCGCUAAUACCGCAUACGCCCUACGGGGGAAAGCUGGGGACCUUUGGGCCUGGCGUUAAUGGAGCGGCCGAUAUCUGAUUAGCUAGUUGGUGAGGUAAAGGCUCACCAAGGCGACGAUCAGUAGCUGGUCUGAGAGGACGACCAGCCACACUGGAACUGAGACACGGUCCAGACUCCUACGGGAGGCAGCAGUGGGGAAUUUUGGACAAUGGGCGCAAGCCUGAUCCAGCCAUUCCGCGUGAGUGAAGAAGGCCUUCGGGUUGUAAAGCUCUUUCGCAAGGGAAGAAAACUUAGCCACUAACAUUGGUUGAGGUUGACGGUACCUUGAUAAGAAGCACCGGCUAACUACGUGCCAGCCGCCGCGGUAA